GGGAAGGUGGCUUAGUGGUAGAGCACUUGCCUUGCAUGCAUGAGACCUUGUCUUCCAUUCCU
RNAcentral lists this transfer RNA (62 nucleotides) under Dipodomys ordii (Ord's kangaroo rat). It matches the Rfam family "tRNA". From Rfam's summary of the family: Transfer RNA (tRNA) molecules are approximately 80 nucleotides in length. Their secondary structure includes four short double-helical elements and three loops (D, anti-codon, and T loops). The record is from Rfam by way of RNAcentral. Lineage: Eukaryota; Metazoa; Chordata; Mammalia; Rodentia; Heteromyidae.